Molecule: long non-coding RNA, 10957 nt
Organism: Solenopsis invicta (red fire ant)
Lineage: Eukaryota; Metazoa; Arthropoda; Insecta; Hymenoptera; Formicidae
Exons: 2
Source: RefSeq, a predicted model, not a curated record
GGGAUUCAAUGGAAAAUAAAACGUGACUGGAGUGCUCGAUCCCAGCAAUUUACCGUAUUUCAUAAAAUUGCCGGCGCGAUAAUCGGCGCUCACAUACUCUACCCGGACGUUAUCUUCAGCCCUGGCAACAUUUCUCGCGACAAUAAAUUGCAUCGCGAUUUGCCGACUUGGCAACUCGGACAUCGUUCUCCGCGAUUUAUUUUUAUAUUGCGUUUCGAAAUAACUCGAAAUUUUUUGAUAUUUCUCCAAAAUCGGGCGCUUUAGCGUUGUAAAUUUUACAGAUGUAGAAUUUUAUAUUGGUAAAUGAUUUGAGAAAUCGAUUUCAUAUAUGCUCCUUUCCGUGACAAUCAGCUUUAUGACGCUUGUAAAAAGGUUUUCAUAAAAAAAAAAAUUUUGUUUCUUUUUAAUAGCGUUAUAUGACUGCACAUAUUAAAAUUAUAUUCAACAAUGACUGAGUAAUACCCUUUUAUUAUUUAUGUAUUUAUUUUUUUGCCAAAAAUCUAUUUUAACAUUUAUUCGAAAAACACACAAUUGUCGUCGCUUUGUUCAUUUAUAAAUUAAAUAAUUUAAAAUUAAAAAGUAAACAACGAUGUAAAUGUUAUUUACUUUUUAACAUAGCUUUUUUUUCAUAACAAAAAGUUAAAAUUGCGGGCUCUAUGUAAAUUCUGACGCGUGCCAUAAACAAAACUGAACGAAGUAUUGAUUUUAUGUUGUUUCACAUUGCAAAAUGCGUCAAUUAUAUCAAUCAAUUAUAAUUAUCGAGCGACACGUAUUAGAUAGCGCUAAGCAAUCAAUUUGAACAUUUAUAACGUAAAUGUUAUAUUAAAUACGUAUCAGUGUGUAGAAAAUUUAAAAAAUAUUCCAUUUAAAUUAAUAUAAUCGAAUGAAGCAGAUUUUAACACGAGUUUCAAGAAAAUGCAUUUGCGUACCGUGAAAAAUGCAUCUGAAUUUAUCGCUCGUUCGAUUCGCAAUUGGAUUAACGGCACCGGAACUCAAUAACUGAAUGCAAUCAGCAUAAUCUAAGCUUAAGUAGUCUAUUGUUACGCACUUUGAUUAUGGCCUAAUUUUCUAUCGUUCAUGAUUAGCCGUUAAUUAACGCAACGUUGAUCAGCAUGGAGAUAAAUUGUCAAAAUAUAUGACAUCAAAAUUUUGACGUCAGAAAUCCGCAUACACACAUGGAUUGGAGUAUGCAUAAAAUUAAGCAACGAUAAAAAUUUAAUAUUCACAGAAUAUGAAAAUGCACGUAAACGUACGAAAUUUUUCUAUAAUUUCUAUAACGCAUUAAAUAAAAUUAAAGUAUUGGACAAAUCUUAUUUUAAAAGAUUUCCAUCUCUUAAUCGUCCUAUUAUUUUCUUUGCAAUUCGAUAAAUUUUAUACAUUUUUAUUAAUAAACAAAAAAAAAUUUUUUAAAUAAAUAUUAAAAAAAUGUUGAAAAAAAAACUCAUCUGAUAUAUAAUACACACGUAUCGUGUGUAUAAAAACUAAUUGAAUUUAAAUAUUAGGAAAUAUGUAUACGUUUUACAAGAACGGGGUUCAACGCAACAGAAUAGCGUCAAUAAAAAUGCAAUUGUUUCAUUGCAACUAAUAAUUAGAAGCGAUGAUUGACGCGACGCGUAAUCACGCGUUAGCGGAGAGUAAUUACGAAAAAUAAGGUAACAAUAACGGACAUGGCAGAUACACGCGUGCGUGUAAAAGUUAAUUUUGCAAUUGCAAAUAAAUGCGAAUAAAAUGGUCGAAUAAUCAAAACGGGGCUCACCGUGCGCGACAAUUUAAUGCAAUAAUGCAAUUGCCGGACGAUUAUUGCGAAAUACGCAUAAAUAAUCAUUCUGUCAAUGGCAACGACGGCAGAAUACGCGCGCGCGCUUAAAAUUUUGACCAUUGAUUAGCCCAGAAGAAUUGUAUACGUCGCGCAAUUAUAUCCCUGGAUAUAUCCUUUUUAUCGCCAUUUUGCAAUCAGUUCUGCCCAUUUAGUUUCGUAUACGCAAUAAUUGUCAUGUUGCGUUUCAUCUGGACACAAAACACCAUGGUACAGGCAUGCACGCGCACACACAGUUUUCUAAAAGAAUGCAAUUUGACCGUAGCCGUUAUUGUAUCUUAAAAAAAGAAUUGCGCUGGGUGCAAUAACUAAAUGCCAUUUGCAUAAUGGUAUUUCAUUACACCGCGAUUCUUGCAACAGCUGUCUUAUCGCGCAACGUUCUCAAUGAUUCGACUCGAUUGACGCCAAGCGAAACGUGGAACGACAUCAUUUUCACAUUUCAUCUUUAAUCGUGCACGCUUAAACUGCGCUGCGUGAAUUGUUGAGCUAAUUAAAUUCACAGAGGGAGGAUUACCCCGGGAUUAUGUGCGAUUGCACGGAAACGGAGCAACGGGUGUCGGUUAGCGUUAGUUUUCACGUAUUGUUUCGUUGCCGGAGAGGCAAGAGAGUGGUUAAUCAAACGUCGAGCACUCCUGUCAUCAUUUGUCCCACCUAACGAUUAUAUCGCGGGACUGACGGAAGGAUCGAGAUAGUGAUGCGAACAGGCGGACGCGGCGCGGCGGGCACGUAGAGACAGAAAGACGAACGUGGUGCACAGAGUGGUUUCACUCUGCGCAAAACACACUCAGGCACGCAUACAAAUCAACGCGUACGCACACAUACAGACACACACACACAUACACACACACGCAUACAAAUCAAGCAGACGCGCGUGUUAACGCGCUCGUCGGACACAUGUUGGAUUCACCGAUCCGUGAGUACAAACGCACCGACGUCUCGGGCACACGUUUCCUAUGCAGCUACGUACUGGAUCAUGCCUAAUGGCGACCCUAAUCAGUCGGCGAAUGCGUUGAUUGGGCCGCGGCUCCGCAUUCUCAUUCGGCAGCGGGCGCCCGCGAUCGCGACACGCAGCCGGCGUUAGCAUCGACACCGUAUCGACGCGAAAAAUUUGUACAUAAUGUCUGUAUUAUAACUUGCGCGACAUCACACUCACACGCCUUUCGCGCCUUUCCGCAUAUGGAGAAACUUCGAGACGCGAGCCGAUCUCUCCUCUCCUCGCUCUUUUCGGAUGCGUCCGAGACGAAUGUGACACGGAGGAACCACGAUCCAAACUUGUGACGAGAGAGAGGGAGGGAGGGAGAGAGAGAGAGAGACACAAUUUCACUUUCUAUUUGUGUGUGUUCGAUGUGAUAUCCUGCCAGAUAGCACUGGCCCAGCAAUUGGCCUCUCUUCCUGAUCGGAAAAAGCUUUGCUACCCGUGCAAAAAGCGUUUUCUAUCAAUUUAUUUUAAGUUUCAGCCUGAAUUGUUUUUAUUUUCUCUCUCUUUUUUUUAUACAUAUAUAUAGAACGGUGCUGUGCAAACGCACAUAUUUAUUUAAUAAUGUAAUUUUGAAAUAUGACUUUUAGAUAGAAUUUUUUGGCAAACUGCGCUUCGGUAUUGACAAGGACACAUCGCAGUUGUCAGAAACCGAUUUGAUUCCCUGUAAAACGUAUUGUUGAAUAUUUAAAGGACGCGUGUCUUUUUACACGUGCCGCGUUUGAAUUUGAAAGAAAUUCAAUUAUUUCGUUACAAGCGAAUAUAUCUUCGGUAAGCCGUAAGAUGUAGAAAAAAAGUUUUAGGUCAUAUUUUUUUUAAUUUUUCAAAACAAAAAAAAAUUGCACACUUUGCAACCGUGUACUAAGAUUUCCCGAUAGUAUUAACGUUAAAAAAAAAAAAUACGCUUCUAAUCUCAUUUAUCAUUUGUAUGAAAUUUAAAUUUUGCUAUAAGAAUUAUAGGUUUUGAUCAUGUGCUUCGAAUGUCCAAGUGUACCCAGCGAUAUCUGGUUUACUCUUGGCUAUCGAGAGCAAUCGUACGUUGGAGGCGCAGCGUAAGAGCAACGCGGUGCACGUGGAUGAAAUAUGUCGCUCAUUUAUUUGUCGAUGCAUUUACUUUGCCAGCAUCGGCAGAAACGUCGAAGUCGCGAGGGAAUCGCUUGGGAAAAGCCGAUAAGAGAAAUCGUCAGUUGCCCGGCCAGUGCGAUCGGGCAGUAUCGAAAGUAUCGCCCGGGCCGUUCGCGCUCGACGAAACGAAGUCGCUUGCAUCUUCGCGCUCCUAUACGCGACCCUGAUACGUUGGCGAGGUGGAUGCCCCCGUCUGGCCCGAUAGAACUUGCCGGGACAAAUAGUCGCUUGUCAGAAGCGAUUUAAGUAACGCGACGAGUCGAGAGAGAGAGAGAGAGAGAGAGAGAGAGAAGCUAUGACGAGAGGCAGAGAUACACAGGUAUUGGCCAUGGCCGUCCAGAAAAGUAGGAAUUUCAAAAGACGCACGUGCGCUCUCCUAUUUUUGUUACAGUUUUGUAACAAAUUUUUCUCGCAGCUGCUAAAGUUCCUUAAAAUUUUUGUGCAAACGGAGAGGAAGGCGAUUACGUGGAAGUUAUCGUGAGAUUUCACGGAGAAUGCUUUCGAGAUGGCGAUGCUGAAACGCGUAUCGGGGUCAGUUAUCUUUUCCUCCACACACACGCACAAUUGUUUUCGUAUUUCGUUCGCUUUAAACACAAGCGAAAUCUUCCUGUUUCCAUUUGCGUCGCCAAGAUAACCGGCUUACUGUUCUCGGUAGAAAGAUAUAUCGCGAAGUCACACGAACUUCCACGUCACACGAGAAAUAUGUUUACUUACGACAAUCGUGAUUAACACUAUUAAUGUAUAGUACUUUUUCGUAGGACGAUUCUCCGCAUUAUUCGCAUGUACCUUCUUGACAUUAUUCGUGUCGGGCCCCUUGAACGUGUCGGGCUUUAAAAAUGGGAAGGGUCGAUAAAGAGCGGGAAAAGAGGGCUCAUAAAGAAAUCUCGAGUCGUCCCUGUCGACGCCUCGCCAUGUGAUUACAGGAGAAUCACAUAAUUCCGGAGGGUAGAGAAAGAUAAUAUUUCGGAAGUUCUCUCGAGGGGCGAACUUGCUAGAGAGUCACGCUUACACGUGUGGUUCGGCGGUGGAAUAUACGGCCCCCGAAGACAAUGAGAAGUUGGGAGAAAAAUAAUUGCGCGGGCGGGCGGGCGGACGGGCGUCGAGCGUCGAGGCCGAAACAAAAGUUUGCCGGCAUUUUUCUCUCUUUUCGGCGGAAACUGGGUGUAAGAGAUAGGAAGCGCGCCGUUGAGUCGCGGAACCGAGUCCGCAAUGCGUGCCGCAUCGAUUUUCCCGUUACCGGGCGGACGCUGGGAGGCGGACGUAUCGAUGACCCUGCUUGUUCCGGUUAAAUGCAAGACGCUUGCGAACGCACGUAACGGGGAUUCUUCAGUCAAUUUGUGUGAUUAGUUGAGUCAAUAUUUUUUAACGAAUGCAGGAAAUAUUGAAAUACAAACGGUUUCUAGAUUAUAAGCGGUUGUAGGAAAAAAGAACAUGCCUGUUUUGAAAAUAUCUUAAUUUUCGAAAUGUUAUGGUAAAUAUUGAAAUGAGAUUAUAUAGCGCGUUAAACAAAUACAACUUGCUUAUAUGAAGAAAUUUUGUAUAGCUUCUCAUUGUUCAAUAUAUCGAGAAAGAAAGUUUAUUAAAAAAAAAAAAAACUAAAAUAUCUAGUCCGAUAAGUUUAAUUAAACAUUGGGUUAAUUCACAAAUUAUUUAGUUGCAGACAAAUAAUUAAUCCGUGCUAACCAUUAACAUUUUUUAAUUAAGAAUUAACUAAAGCAACUGAAUAUUUAGUUGAACGUGUCAGACUAAAUAUUUUAGUUUUUCAACAAAUUUUUUCUCAGUGUAAUAAUGUCUCAGUGUAAAAUUCUCAGUGUAAAAUUUAUAUGAGUUGAGAGAAAAAAUAUCAGACAGAAAGGUACAAUAGUUUCAAAUCAAGUAUUAAAAUCUUUAACAUUAUUAUCAUCAAAAUAAUUAGAUUAUGAGAUUUAUGCUAUUUAGACUAUUAUAACGUUGAAGUAAAAAUAUAAAAAAAAUAUUUUGCUGAAGUUUAAGAUUAUCGAAUUAAAUUAGUUUAAAAGAGUUUAAAAUUACACAUAAGCAAGAUUACUAUUGUUUCAUAUAAUGUAUAAGCAAGAAUAUAAUUUUUUGCUUGUUUUCAAAACAAUAAUUGUUGAAUAAAAUAUAUUAGUUUUAAUUUGAUACUAACGCUUGAUACUAUUUUUUCUGUGUAACAGAGUGCAAAUGUAUUCUUCCGCCUCGCGUUUUGGAUUUUUACGGGUAUUGGCAUUUCCGUGACUAUCAAAGCGAUGUACACCGCGGGUGAUUCGAAAAUAAAGUGAACCAAUUGCGCUCUUCUAAUUUCGAGAAUUGCAUUUACGUAAACCAAAAAUAAAGCCUCCGAACUUCAGUGUUUGUUAAAUGUUGAUAUCAUAUUACAACUUAUUUCGAUAGAGUAUUGAUAAACCCUAUUUAAAUCAAGUCCUUUCGCUAAUGGAUGCUAAACUCGCAUUUAACCAGACAUCCAUAUAAUAAGAUUUAAUUGAGGGACAAUAAUUGUUUGUACAUAGAAUUAUUCUUUAUUACUUGUUUAAUAUUUAAAUAUAUAUGUGUGUAUAUAUACUAUAUAUAUUUAUCAUAAAAUUAUAAAUCCUAAAAUACGUUAAUAUGAAUUGAAAUUAAGAAUAUGUACAAUUCGGCUGUGAUUAAGUAGCAUACAAGAAAUAUUAAUAUUGACUGUACUUUUUCUCAUUGCAAUAAGUGGUAAAUUAAUACGAGAUCUUUUAAACAAAAUUUGUAACGUUUAAAAAAAAUAUCAAUUUGGUUGUACACAAAAUUUUACUAAAUUUAAGAUUAACGAUGAAUUAAACAUUCUUCCUGAUACUUUCGAUAGAUUACAAUAAUAUUCCACUUAUUUCUUUAUAAUACGAUUUCAAUUCCUUUAGAGCAAUGAUUAACCAAGCGAAAUGUUCGUGGUGAAUUCAAAAUCUAACUCAAUUUUACAUGAGCCAUUACGCGGCAUUCAUCAUCUUCCAAAUGUAACUCGAGCACAAUUAUUGUCCGAUUCGGGCGAAAUCACUGGCAACUGCAAUGGCGCCAAGCUCGGAUCGUCUGUCUCUUUCCCUUCCUGAUAUUACUUCCUAAUAAUAGGAAUUAUUGGAUGAAACACCAUCGUUUUAUUUCGCGACGCGUAUACACGCGAGCAAAAUCCCGUCGACCGCAACCGAGUGUGUCGUGACUGAAUACCGUACCAGACAUCGCGUGGUCUCGCGCAAAAGUUGAGCCACAAAUGAAAAUGAAAGGAACUUAAAUUGAUGUCACCCAUUAUCAAAUAAGACAGUAAAAUCAUUUUUAUGAUAUUUAAUUUGUUUUCUUUCUUUAAUUUCGUUUGAUCGCAGCCUUCAGAAUUAAUUUGGGAAUCAUGUUUCCCAAAUUAAAAACACAUGGAAAUUAAUUUCUUCGCAGCAUUCUGCCAACUUUGCAUUUUUAAAUUAAAUUAAAAAUAAAUUUAUAUAGAUAUGUAAAUGAAAUUGAUCUGAAAUUAAAAGAUAUAAUUUUAUCGUCUCUUUUUCCUGGUUCAAUUUGCAGGCAAUUAAUUUCUGACCUGAAAUCAACGGCUUCUUGAAAUUUGUAUGCCUCGGGAUUUCGUUGAUAAAAGAUCAAUUCUGUGCUGGCUGAAGAAUUUGUAGUGAAUAGAACAUCCGGUGGGACAUCCUCUGUAACGCGUAAAAUAGGGACGGACAGGAUCCGAAUUCCCGGCUCCGCGGAAUGAGGUAAACGCAGCACGUUGUCCGCCCGGCUCACGCCCGAAUUCGAAAAGAUGAAACGAAUUCGAAUUUUGUUCAUUCCACGUGGGCGGCCGAGUCUAGAAUUGAAUUCCAGGCGCGAUCGGAAUCCAAUUCGAAGUCCGUGGUUGUCCGCGAGUCCUCUCCCACGCCCUCGCCCUGAUCUCCGAACUCCGGUGAGAAACUUCGCGCGCAGUCAACGCGAUCGUUUUCUUCCCUGCGUCUUCACUUCCAAGCUAUCUUCCUCUCGGCUCCGAUGGGCACAAUCUUUAUCUUUUUUUUUUGUAUUUUUCUUUUUUUUUUCUCAAGUACUGGAAACGCUCUCGUGAAUUCUGGAGCUAUGGCACAUCCUGAACCUGCGGGUACUCUCUCGCUCGAAUUUUCGUGUACACGCUGACAGAGGGCGGCAGAAGAAAGAUUAAUCGCGUGGAUUUCUGCAAAGCACUUUACGAUUUUCACUUUUUACAGAAGAAAAUUUAAGAGACUGGGAGUUCCAGUGACGAUACGUCGCUCGCGCCUCUCUUUCUCUCUCUCUUUCUCUUGACUCGUCCGCGUUGCGCUGCGCUACGCUCAAUUUGCGCAUCGCGCAUCUUACUGGCACGAGCGCGCGCGCGCACAAAAUUCCGCGAUAGCGACGCGUGAUAUAGGCGCCGAGAGAAACUAAUCAUUAACUAGAUCGUGAUUUAAUUGUCGGCGAGAAUGCGCUCCGACGACAGCGCGAACUGGAACUCGACGAGCCGUAGGUGAAUCGUCCCAAUCGGCGGUUAUGCUAAGCGCAAGCGUAAGAGAUUAUAAGAUGAAAAAAAAAGUGAACGCAGAGUGAAGAAAUCCGUAAUCGCAGUGAUAUCGUUAGAAUAGAUAGGUAUAUUAUUGUACAUACUAUGAUAUUACGAUGUUUACUAAAUAAAAAUGUUGAAAGGAAGUGAAGGUGUGGCCUGCUCUUUUGGGCGGAGCUUGUAGAGCCGCAUGUACAUAACGUAUCCUAAAAAAAAAAAAAAAAAAUAAAUGCUCCCUCUGAUAAGUCUUCAACAAUCUCUUCAUUGACGGAAUUAACUGUUUCACGACACGUAGAGUUUAUCGUUUUUCUUUCUAAUCUAUUAUAAUUUACAAUCUGUCACCCGUUGGUUUCAACAGAUAUUUAAAGAACGUUUUAACAAGAGACGUCAGAAGUUUUUUUUCCUCUUCUAUAAUAUUAAUACAAUGUAACAGGGUUUAAUAUAUCAUUAUUAUUAAGAAGCCGUGUACUAAUAAUAUUCUUCCGCCAUUGUCAAUCGAGGAUUUGAAAUUUAUUCUAUAUCUUUUUGAUGUAAAUAGAAGAAGCGGGAGGUUUGUUACAAAGGUGAUGUAACGCUUUUGGAGACGAUCAGUUCGAGAGGCUUCCUUUGUUACAAUCUCCACCUUUGAAGACAUCUUGACGCAGCCGUGGAAACGACCGGAUUCCCCGAGAAAUCCUUUUGCCUCUCUUCAGAUCCGCGUCUUCUUUAUCCCGACAGCUAGGAAUCUUUUAUCAAGAAUGCUCCUUUUUCGCCAGCGAUAAGUAACUAAGGAGCUUCAAGGGGACUCCGUCAAGCGACACUCCCCGAGACGCCACCAGCCAUAUUCGAAAAACACAGGAUGGCGAAUCGGAUCCGGGGAAAAGUAAACGGCGGACAUCAAAAUCCAGUUAACGAGCGUCUGCCCGAAGCUCCCUUAACAGUGUGUCGAGUUUCAACGUUUCCAGCGACCAAAGUGAUAGACGUUUCUUCAUGGUGAAACACCUAAGAAGCGAGUGCUCGCGAGAUGCCACGUCGUUUUGUGGAUUCCGCGGGUAAAGUGCUGUGUUUCAGACAUGGCGGCGGGGGACACGGCGACCCGCCGAAUGCUCGACACAAAGGUGAGCCCCGGACGUGUAGAUGUAACGCGAAAUGCAACCGCGAAAAUUGUUACACAGUCAGCUAACUGUGGCAGCAAGACAAAGCGAGCAUGGAGUGCCUUUAGGCAAUCACUACACAACGCGCGACACAGGUAUUAUACUUGACGUGCCAUUAAUUACAUUGUAGUAGUUUUAACCAUAGACUGACCAAUUUUACAUUAAAUCUCUCGUUACGUAUUUAUUGGAAAAAAUUGGGUCGCAGUUAGCACGCGAGUAGUUUGAAUUUGAAUCGAAUCGAUAGUGAAUUCGAUAGGUGAAAUGAUUUUAUUUCUAACGCUCGAGGAAUUUUACAUACACUUCAUUUGAACCAAGCGAAAUUCUUGCCAUUGACUAAUGAAUUGUUAUCAAUACUUCCACACGUGGACAGACCACAGACAGACCGUACAUGACAAUGAUUUUAUAGUUAAAAGUUGAGUGCUAUCUCGCGUCGAUAUGGUCUCUUACUAAAGCCAGACAAAAGUUGAUCGCGAUAUAAAUUUGUCAAUUAUUUCCGCUGAUGAAGAUUAGGUAUAAUCGAGACGUACUAAUAUAAUUCUAAAGGAAAAUUAAUUGUUUGAAACAACUACACCAUCUAGAUGCUGCUUGUGAUUUGGCCGCCAUCCCUCUACACUUUACAUACAAGAUAUUAUUAUUAAUAAAAACAUGCAUUAUUAGAAGUUUAAGGAUAAUUGUUUAACGAGCAAUUAGAAUCUUCGAGAUUUCACUUUGACGUUAAUUGUGUUUGUCAUAAUGCUGUUAUGACGUCGUUUUAUUAAUAUUAACUUGAUCACGAUACGUUCCACUGCUCGGUCGCUCGACUUAUCGGCUCAUUAGCCCGUCAUACCAAUAAUCUUAUCCUCAGGCAGCUCUCCGAAAUUCUGCAUAAUUUAUACAGCGGAGGAAAAUUAAUCAAUUCAACUUCGUGAAAAUCAAGCUACAAGAAGAUAAAUAAAUCCGCUUGAUCAGCAAGCAAACGCAACUUCCUUAUGCGAUGUGUAACGAAGGAAUUUGUUAUAAAAUAUCACAAGAUAAAAAUGAUAAUGAUAUAUGAUAAUAAUAACAGUCUUUUAUUUACACAAUAAUAUUAUAUUCUCAUAAUUCUUAUUACAAUCAGUAAGAAUUAUGUAAGUUUAAAUUAUCUAGUACAAUAAUUAUACAACGUUUAUUAUUAUAUUAUUUAUUCAACACAUCUUCUAAAAACGCCGUUAAACUAAAGAUACUCUACUGGAGUAAAUCUGCUGCAUUUUCUCUCUUCGCUCUUGAUUCUUCGAAUGGAAAAAUUCUCUGAGCUCUUUCGAUUUUUUGAAAGAAAACGUAUUCUAACGUUGCGAGUCGAUUUUUCGAGCAAGUGCAGAGACACCGAUAAUUUGCGUGACUCUUCUCCAUCUCUACUCCGCUUCCUCCUCUCGGGAGGUGGCGGAGGUGAU